RNAcentral lists this unclassified non-coding RNA (519 nucleotides) under uncultured Glomeromycotina. RNAcentral's name for it is "SSU rRNA". It matches the Rfam family "Eukaryotic small subunit ribosomal RNA", at positions 571 to 1092 of the family's 1831-position model. The record is from RNAcentral. Lineage: Eukaryota; Fungi; Glomeromycota.
CAGCCGGGUAAUUCCAGCUCCAAUAGCGUAUAUUAAAGUUGUUGCAGUUAAAAAGCUCGUAGUUGAAUUUCGGGAUCAAUAUGUUGGUCGUGCCUUUGGUACGUACUAGCUUAUUGAUUUCUCCCUUCUGACGAACCAUGAUGUCAUUAAUUUGGUGUCAUGGGGAAUCAGGACUGUUACUUUGAAAAAAUUAGAGUGUUUAAAGCAGGCUUACGCUUGAAUAUAUUAGCAUGGAAUAAUGAAAUAGGACGUUUUGAUUCUAUUUUGUUGGUUUCUAGGAUCGACGUAAUGAUUAAUAGGGAUAGUUGGGGGCAUUAGUAUUCAAUUGUCAGAGGUGAAAUUCUUGGAUUUAUUGAAGACUAACUACUGCGAAAGCAUUUGCCAAGGAUGUUUUCAUUAAUCAAGAACGAAAGUUAGGGGAUCGAAGACGAUCAGAUACCGUCGUAGUCUUAACCAUAAACUAUGCCGACUAGGGAUCGGAUGAUGUUAAUUUUUUAAUGACUCAUUCGGCGCCUUACG